AUCCUAUACAGAUGUAUUCAACGCAAGCCAGUUGGGCAUCUCCCUGUAGGAUAAAGUUUAUCAGAAGUUCUAGCAACAAUUCUCAUUGUGUGGCUCUACGGUCGAAAUGGGAUGAGUUAGGGUGGAAUAGGUUAACCGUAAGACCUUGAGUUGCAAGACUCUAAAAUUGACCUAGAGGUGUGGAUUUCUUAAUUUUCGCAUUUUCUAGUUACGGCAUA
RNAcentral lists this non-coding RNA (218 nucleotides) under unclassified sequences. Its description in RNAcentral is "IS605-orfB-I RNA". It matches the Rfam family "IS605-orfB-I RNA". The record is from Rfam by way of RNAcentral.